Long non-coding RNA from Girardinichthys multiradiatus, 736 nucleotides. RefSeq lists it as uncharacterized. NCBI's taxonomy places the organism in Eukaryota, Metazoa, Chordata, Actinopteri, Cyprinodontiformes, Goodeidae. The record is from RefSeq and is a predicted model, not a curated record. The transcript has 4 exons.
UUUAUCUGAAUAAUCUUCUGCGGAGAUUCUACAGCCUUCGGCCUCCCAGCUUUUCAGAGUGUCCCUCUCCGCCCUCUCAGCUCCUGAUGGCUCAGUCAUGCGUGGAGGCCUUUGUUCCAGUCUGCAGCUGGGAGCACAGAGCAGCAGGAGGUCCUGAAAGUUUUGAGGUUGAUCUGGAGGCAACACCUCAAACUGGUGGCUGUUGCUGAAACCAUUCUGGAAGAGCAUCAUCGUGCUGGAAGAGGCCACCAACAUCAAGCAGUGCUUGAUGGAUCCCACCCUCUGAUGGUCACCGUGGUAACCAGAUGAGUGUCUUCCAGGUGGAUUUACCUGCAAGUCCGUCUUCAUGAGCGAAGCCCCCGCCUCCACCAGGAAGUGACAGAUGCUCCUCUGACAGAGGGUGGCGGCUUUAUGGAGCGCCGUCUCUCCUCUGAAACACAAACCGGGAAAAACAGAUUCACCUCUGGGAUGUUUGGGCUUCGUUUUGGACGGAAUAAAACCAAAACUUCAGAAACAUGACUCUGUUCAGCAUCUGUUACCAUGGUAAUCGUCCAGGAUGAGACUAAAAUCCCAACGUAUCUGUAAGAAACCUCUUGGUUCUGAUCUAAUACCACCCAGGACCUCAGACCUAAGGAUCAAUGCUUUUCUGCUUCACCCAGCCUCAUCUAUGGACGAGAUGUUUCCACUGGCUGGAUCUGUGCGUCUGUUUCAAGAAGUUAAAAACUGCUCCCGGGGA